AUGAGGUUUUGCCCAAUCUGCCCCCCGCAUUCUGCAGCCAAUCCAUCCUCGCCUCGUCCCACUCCCGCACCGGCCACCACCCAAACCCUAGACCCAUUUCCCCUCGAUCCCCACAGCCUCUCCCGCCUACUCCAUCCCUCCUCCGUGCCUCGCCACGGCCUCCGCCCCAGAGCCUCGCCGCCACCUGCUAUUCCUCAUCGCCCAUGCGAGCUCGGUGGCGGGAUGAAUGGACAGGGGAGGUGGGCGACGAGGGCUACUCCACCCACCAGAUUCGCGCCGCCCCUGCCCAAAUCCUCUCCGCGUGCGUUGCACCCAAUCCCGUCCUCGCUCGUAUCGUCCGACGGACAGGUCCCCAUCCUCCUGCGGUUCCCCUCCCUUUCUUCCUUCUCCUCCCUCACGACAUGUCGCCUGUCUCCAUCCCGCAUCUUGCUGCCGCAACAGCCUCUCCAGGAGGCUCGCCCUCCGUGCUGCAAAGUAGCAGGCCCGGACCUGGAGGAGGAAGAGGAGAUCAGGGGGUCCAGGCGGUGGCUCGGUACAGUUCCUUUUCGAUAUGCUCUUCAUGGCGCCGAUGGCUUCCACGGAGCAGAGGAAAGUAUGCGUGCCUUCUGCUGGAAAGGGCUCGGUGGUUGGGAGAGUAGCGCCAUGAAUGAUGAAUGUUGGCGAUCUUUUUAUUGUGACACAACGCUUUCGAGUUUCAUGAGACAUGGCCAUUCUCAAAAGGGGUUUGCGGCUGCAGGUGAAGGAUGGGCGGACAAUGAGGAGAUGGAAAAUGAAGCAAUGUUAUGGGAGAAAAUUGAGGGAGAACAGUUGGCCGCCAUCCAUGAAUGGGAAGAUAGCAGACCUGCGGUGUUUGCAGAAUCAACAGGAAAAAUGACCCUCCAAGCUCCAAGAUGGACUAAAAGGACAAGGUACACGCAAGCUGAACAAAGGGAGGAGUGGGGCAGUGUGGUGUUUGAGGUUAAGGAUUCCUCUGAAGAGAUCUUUGACCAGGACACUAUUCUACAAAAGCAGCAAAUGCUUGAGAAAGAUCUAAAACUCGGAGAGAAGAGAGAGGGAAAAGAGAACGGGGAGGCGAGGAGCACCUGCAUCACAUCCUGUGGCUGCAGCGGGUCGGCCUCCGUCAUCGGCUUCUUCCUGCUAGGACAGGGCAGGACAGGGACGGCGAUGGAGAUAGCGAGCAACAUGAGGAGGAAGUGGAGGUCGGUGGGGAAGGCCUCCCUCCCGCGAGAUCACCACCACCAAACCCGCCGAGGUCAGAGAAAUAGGGAAAAUCAAAAUCUGAAGAUCUGGAAAUGGAGAUGCCCAUGUAAUCGCUCGCCUUCUCAAAGGAGUGGACAAGAGAGCUACCAUUACAUUACAACUAAGUGCCACACCAAUGAAUGUGAAUGCAUGUUCAGAUUAUGUUCCUCUAAAUCACGUAUACCAUUCUUAGUACAGACUCGGCAUCUAUUCGUCUUGGUACAAACUAAUGUUCUAAUAAGAAGUUUCUCCAUGAUGUCACUUUCCACCUACUGGGUCGUGCAGGGUUGCGUCAUGAACGGCAUCUGGGCGAUCGCCCACGAGUGCGGCCACCACGCCUUCUUCGACUACUUGCUGCUUGACAACAUGUUUUCUGUCAGUAGUUUGUUCAAUUUGUAUGCUUGGGAUUUGUUUCAUUGA
RNAcentral lists this ribosomal RNA (1659 nucleotides) under Triticum aestivum (bread wheat). RNAcentral describes it as "partial small subunit ribosomal RNA". Lineage: Eukaryota; Viridiplantae; Streptophyta; Magnoliopsida; Poales; Poaceae. The record is from RNAcentral.